GGGAGCACGAGUGCGCGCCAUCUGUGAGAGAGAAACCGCUGUGGACUGCUGCGCGGUAUGCGGAGUAUUACGAAGAGUUCAGGGAGAGUCGGCAGUGUAUUGAGGAUGUGCCGGAUCUACCCGGGGCGCAUCCAAUUACAGGUGAACCUAUAAAGCCGUACUUUCCAUGCGCGGAAGGUACGAUCCCGACUGAAUGCAACCCGUGUGACAGAAAUUUGGGGCGUUUGCAGCGUUUGAAAGACACGCCGGAUAUUUGCAGGUGUAUUGUCAAAUGCCCGAAAGCAAAAUGGCCGUGCCGGGCGUGGGAAGUGAAGAAGAAGCAGGCGUUUGUGGUUAAACAGGAUAAACGGUUGGUGAAACCACAGAGGGCGGUGUAUAGCGGUGGAAAACUGAAUAAAACUAAGACAUGAA
Dalotia coriaria is the source of this 411-nucleotide long non-coding RNA. RefSeq lists it as uncharacterized. Lineage: Eukaryota; Metazoa; Arthropoda; Insecta; Coleoptera; Staphylinidae. The record is from RefSeq and is a predicted model, not a curated record. The transcript has 2 exons.